Molecule: long non-coding RNA, 10081 nt
Filed under: Xyrichtys novacula (pearly razorfish)
Lineage: Eukaryota; Metazoa; Chordata; Actinopteri; Labriformes; Labridae
Source: RNAcentral
UGGGGUGUAGAUUGGCCUGAGCAAAUGUGGUGCCGGUGGACAGAAAGCCUUCGGAGGAGUUAGCGAAAUUCCAAUGUGUGCGGAUCGGCAAAAAAUGCGGAAUAACCCUUUAACCGUACAUUUGACAGAUACGCACGCAUUGACUUUUUCGUAGAUCUUAUUGAGUUACAUGUGUGUGUCAAUUUUUGUGUCAUUUUGACAAAGCGUAUAGGCGUGACACUCAACAAUGUGUAUUUUCACCUUAGGGGACAAGAAAAAAUGGACUUUUUUCUCCUGCCAUGGGGGGGCGCUCUUUUGGGGAGUAAAAAUUCCUUCACAAAUGUGUUGAUGGCUGGACAUUGCAUCAUCCUAGAAAACUUGGAGGCCAGUGAGGGCAAAAAUAAAAAGUUAUAAGACUUUUAAAUAUGUGGAUCUUAGGGUUAUCUUUGGCGCCCCCUAGAACCUAAACCAUGGGGUGCAGCUUCAUGAUUUGAAUAACUUUUAAUGGCCAUGGGGUGUAGAUUGGCCUGAGCAAAUGUGGUGCCGGUGGAACGAAAGCCUUCGGAGGAGUUAGCGAAAUUCCAAUGUGUGCGGAUCGGCAAAAAAUGCGAAAUAACCCUUUAACCGUACAUUUGACAGAUACGCCCGCACUGACUUUUUUGUAGAUCUUAUUGAGAUACAUGUGUGUGUCAAUUUUUGUGUCAUUUUGACAAAGCGUACCGGCGUGACAGUGAAUAGUGUGAAUUUUCACCUUAGGGGGCGCUAUGGAGCCAUUUUGCAUUUUCUUGUUUGGGCGACUUCGGAAUAUCAAAUUUUUCACCAGGCCCGGUCGUCCUGCCAAAUUUCAUGAGUUUUCGCCAGUGGGAAGUGGGCCAUUUUCCAGUUCAAAGGGGAGGAAAAAUAAUAACUAGGGCCCCGUUGGGGCACUGGCGGGCCCGAGCCGUGUCACGCCGCCCCCAGCGCGACCGCCUCCCCCACCCGAUCGCGUCACACUCAAGGUCCAAAGAUGGUGUGCGCACUUGUUUGUGGUCAUUUACCAUUAUAAUGAACGGGAGGCGCAGUUUCUACCAAAACGCUCGCUGCAGACAAACUCCAUGUCCUAUUUGAAAAAAGUCUGGACCAUGAGUGAGGGCACAAACACAGCUAAGAUAUAUCCAAAUGGCAAGUUGCUCCUCCUUUCGCUUUUGCCGAGAGAGCAGUGCGUUUGAGCCAUUGAAUGAUGAACAGGAAAAACUUGACUUUAUUCUCCUGCCAUGGGGGGGCGCUCUUUUAACAAGAAAAAACUCCUUCACAAAUGUGUUGAUGGCUGGACAUUGCAUCAUCCUAGAAAACAUGGAGGCCAGUGAGGACAAAAAUAAAAAGUUAUAAGACUUUUAAAUAUGUGGAUUUUAGGGUUAUCUUUGGCGCCCCCUAGAACCUAAACUGUGGGGUGCAGCGUCAUGAUUUGAAUAACUUUUAAUGGCCAUGGGGUGUAGAUUGGCCUGAGCAAAUGUGGUGCCGGUGGAACGAAAGCCUUCGGAGGAGUUAGCGAAAUUCCAAUGUGUGCGAAUCUGCAAAAAAUGCGAAAUAACCCUUUAACCGUACAUUUUACAGAUACGUGGCCAUUGACUUUUUCGAAGAUCUUAUUUAAAGACACGUGUAUGUAAAAUUUUGUGUCAAUACGACAAAACAUACAGGUGUAGCACUCAACAAUGUGUAUUUUCACCUUAGUGGACAAGAAAAAAUGGACUUUUUUCUCCUGCCAUGGGGGGGCGCUCUUUUGGGGAGUGAAAAUUCCUUCACAAAUGUGUUGAUGGCUGGACAUUGCAUCAUCCUAGAAAACUUGGAGGCCAGUGAGGACAAAAAUAAAAAGUUAUAAGACUUUUAAAUAUGUGGAUUUUAGGGUUAUCUUUGGCGCCCCCUAGAACCUAAACCGUGGGGUGCAGCGUCAUGAUUUGAAUAACUUUUAAUGGCCAUGGGGUGUAGAUUGGCCUGAGCAAAUGUGGUGCCGGUGGAACAAAAGCCUUCGGAGGAGUUAGCGAAAUUCCAAUGUGUACGGAUCGCCAAAAAAUGCGAAAUAGCCCUUUAACCGUACAUUUGACAGAUACGCCCGCACUGACUUUUUUGUAGAUCUUAUUGAGAUACAUAUGUGUGUCAAAUUUUGUGUCAUUUUGACAAAGCGUACAGGCGUGACAGUCAAUAGUGUGAAUUUUCACCUUAGGGGGCGCUAUGGAGCCAUUUUGCAUUUUCUUGUUUGGGCGACUUCGGAAUAUCAAAUUUUUCACCAGGCCCGGUCGUCCUGCCAAAUUUCCUGAGUUUUCGCCAGUGGGAAGUGGGCCAUUUUCCAGUUCAAAGGGGAGGAAAAAGAAGAAAGAAAGAAACAAAGAAAAACCCCUACAGGAAUAACAGGGCCUACGCCCGGCUGCUCUGCAGCUGGCUCGGGCCCUAAUAACAAAAGAAGGAAACUACAGGAACAAGAGGGCUCUCGCAGCUGCUUAGCAGCUACGCUCGGGCCCUAAAGAAACAAAGAAAAACCACUUGGGGAAUAAUAGGGCUCUCGCAGCUGCUUAGCAGCUACGCUCGGGCCCUAAAAAGAAACAAAGAAAAACCACUACAGGAAUAACAGGGCCUACGCCCGGCUGCUCUGCAGCUGGCUCGGGCCCUAAAGAAGAAGAAAGAAGAAUCCAUCAGGAAUAAUAGGGCUCUCGCAGCUGCUUAGCAGCUACGCUCGGGCCCUAAAGACUAGGGCCCCGUUGGGGCACUGGCGGGCCCGAGCCGUGUCGCGCUGCCCCCCCCCAACGCGCUGCCUCCCCGUCCCAUUCGCGUCCUCUGGCCAUCGUCCUCUCUGGUAACGCCCAUCACUGCAAAGACCCUUUCCUUCAUCGGCGUUUGCUGUUCUUCCUGCCAGUGCGUGUUGCUUUCACUUACACUUGCCACAGCCAGCCUCAUGAGUGCCUAGCCUAUUGGAUAUCACUGUCAUCUACACAGGACAGUCAUAACCUUUCUAUUAAUACUUUGUUUUUUAAUUUCACAUUAAUUUCCAUACUGUAUAAAUGACUGGAAAAAACUUGAGCCCCUGCCCCUGUAUAAUCAUGUGCACGUCCCUGUUCUAGCUCCAAGGUGAAUCUUCACUGCUCAUGUUCUCCUCAGAAAUAGUCACCUCACUCCCCUCAGGUUACUGUACACAUGCACCAACUAUCUGCUUCAGGUUUGGAUGGAGCUUCAUGGUUGUCUUUUGGAGAAAUGAACAGUCAAGUUGUGUUUGAAAUUUGAUUUUUUUCAGGGGCAAAAGGAAGCCUCUGCAUUCUUGUCAAAUAUGUAAACAGCAUGUUUUUGCAGGUGCUAAAAAACAGACUCUGAGUGUGUGUGUGUGUGUGUGUGUGUUGGCGUGUGUGUUGGCGUGUGUGUAUCCUGCAGUACUCUGUACUCCUGCAGUGGCCAAAAAGACUUUUAAGAAUGUGGAUUUUUGGGUCAUCUUUGGCGCCCCCUAGAACUGCAGUACUCUGUACUCCUGCAGUGGCCAAAAUGACUUUUAAGAAUGUGGAUUUUUGGGUCAUCUUUGGCGCCCCCUAGAACGUAAACCGUGGGGUGCAGCGUCAUGAUUUUUACAACUUUUAAUGGGCAUGGGGUGUAGAUUGCCCUGAGCAAAUUUGGUAUCAGUGGGACGAAAGCCUUAGGAGGAGAUAGCCACAUUCCAAUGUGUGCGAAUCGGCAAAAAAUGCGAAAUAGCCCUUUAACCGUACAUUAUACAGAUACGCGCCCUUUGACUUUUUCGUAGAUCUAAUUGAGAUACACAUGAUUGUCAAUUUUUGUGUCAAUAUGACAAAGCGUUCAGGCGUGACACUCAACAAUGUGUAUUUUCAUGUAAGGGGACAAGAAAAAAUUGACUUUUUUCUCCUGCCAUGGGGGGGCGCUCUUUUGGGGAGUAAAAAUUCCUUCACAAAUGUGUUGAUGGCUGGACAUUGCAUCAUCCUAGAAAACUUGGAGGGCAGUGAGGACAAAAAUAAAAAGUUAUAAGACUUUUAAGAAUGUGGAUUUUUGGGUUAUCUUUGGCGCCCCCUAGAACCUAAACCGUGGGGUGCAGCGUCAUGAUUUGUACAACUUUUAAUGGCCAUGGGGUGUGACCUGGCCUGAGCAAAUUUGGUGCCAGUGGAACGAAAGCCUUCGGAGGACUUAGCCACAUUCCAAUGUGUGCGGAUCGGCAAAAAAUGCGGAAUAACCCUUUAACCGUACAUUUGACAGAUACGCGCGCAUUGACUUUUUCGUAGAUCUUAUUGAGUUACAUGUGUGUGUCAAUUUUUGUGUCAUUUUGACAAAGCGUAUAGGCAUGACACUCAACAAUGUGUAUUUUCACCUUAGGGGACAAGAAAAAAUGGACUUUUUUCUCCUGCCAUGGGGGGGCGCUCUUUUGGGGAGUAAAAAUUCCUUCACAAAUGUGUUGAUGGCUGGACAUUGCAUCAUCCUAGAAAACUUGGAGGCCAGUGAGGACAAAAAUAAAAAGUUAUAAGACUUUUAAAUAUGUGGAUUUUAGGGUUAUCUUUGGCGCCCCCUAGAACCUAAACCGUGGGGUGCAGCGUCAUGAUUUGAAUAACUUUUAAUGGCCAUGGGGUGUAGAUUGGCCUGAGCAAAUGUGGUGCCGGUGGAACGAAAGCCUUAGGAGGAGUUAGCCACAUUCCAAUGUGUGCGGAUCGGCAAAAAAUGCGGAAUAACCCUUUAACCGUACAUUUGACAGAUACGCGCGCAUUGACUUUUUCGUAGAUCUUAUUGAGUUACAUGUGUGUGUCAAUUUUUGUGUCAUUUUGACAAAGCGUACAGGCGUGACACUCAACAAUGUGUAUUUUCACCUUAGGGGACAAGAAAAAAUGGACUUUUUUCGCCUGCCAUCGGGGGGCGCUCUUUUGGGGAGUAAAAAUUCCUUCACAAAUGUUUUGAUGGCUGGACAUUGCAUCAUCCUAGAAAACUUGGAGGCCAGUGAGGACAAAAAUAAAAAGUUAUAAGACUUUUAAAUAUGUGGAUUUUAGGGUUAUCUUUGGCGCCCCCUAGAACCUUAACAGUGGGGUGCAGCGUCAUGAUUUGAAUAACUUUUAAUGGCCAUGGGGUGUAGAUUGGCCUGAGCAAAUGUGGUGCCGGUGGAACGAAAGCCUUAGGAGGAGUUAGCCACAUUCCAAUGUGUGCGAAUCGGCAAAAAAUGCAAAAUAGCCCUUUAACCGUACAUUUUACAGAUACGCGCGCAUUGACUUUUUCGUAGAUCUUAUUGAGAUACAUGUGAUUGUCAAAUUUUGUGUCAAUAUGACAAAGCGUACAGGUAUGACAGUCAACAAUGUGUAUUUUCACCUUAGGGUACAAGAAAAAAUGGACUUUUUUCUCCUGCCAUGGGGGGGGCGCUCUUUUGGGGAGUAAAAAUUCCUUCACAAAUGUGUUGAUGGCUGGACAUUGCAUCAUCCUAGAAAACUUGGAGGCCAGUGAGGACAAAAAUAAAAAGUUAUAAGACUUUUAAAUAUGUGGAUUUUAGGGUUAUCUUUGGCGCCCCCUAGAACCUAAACCGUGGGGUGCAGCGUCAUGAUUUGAAUAACUUUUAAUGGCCAUGGGGUGUAGAUUGGCCUGAGCAAAUGUGGUGCCGGUGGAACGAAAGCCUUAGGAGGAGUUAGCCACAUUCCAAUGUGUGCGGAUCGGCAAAAAAUGCGGAAUAACCCUUUAACCAUACAUUUGACAGAUACGCGCGCAUUGACUUUUUCGUAGAUCUUAUUGAGUUACAUGUGUGUGUCAAUUUUUGUGUCAUUUUGACAAAGCGUAUAGGCGUGACACUCAACAAUGUGUAUUUUCACCUUAGGGGACAAGAAAAAAUGGACUUUUUUCGCCUGCCAUCGGGGGGCGCUCUUUUGGGGAGUAAAAAUUCCUUCACAAAUGUGUUGAUGGCUGGACAUUGCAUCAUCCUAGAAAACUUGGAGGCCAGUGAGGACAAAAAUAAAAAGUUAUAAGACUUUUAAAUAUGUGGAUUUUAGGGUUAUCUUUGGCGCCCCCUAGAACCUUAACCGUGGGGUGCAGCGUCAUGAUUUAAAUAACUUUUAAUGGCCAUGGGGUGUAGAUUGACCUGAGCAAAUGUGGUGCCGGUGGAACGAAAGCCUUAGGAGGAGUUAGCCACAUUCCAAUGUGUGCGGAUCGGCAAAAAAUGCAAAAUAGCCCUUUAACCGUACAUUUUACAGAUACGCGCGCAUUGACUUUUUCGUAGAUCUUAUUGAGAUACAUGUGAUUGUCAAAUUUUGUGUCAUUUUGACAAAGCGUACAGGCGUCAGCUGAAUUUUUCACCUUAGGGGGCGCUAUGGAGCCAUUUUGCAUUGUAUUGUUUGGGCGACUUCAGAAUAUCAAAUUUUUCACCAGGCCCGGUCGUCCUGCCAAAUUUCAUGAGUUUUCGCCAGUGGGAAGUGGGCCAUUUUCCAGUUCAAAGGGGAGGAAAAAGAAACUAGGGCCCCGGUGGGGCACUGGCGGGCCCGAGCCGUGUCGCGCCGCCCCCAGUGCGACCGCCUACCCCUCCCGAUCGCGUCACACUCAAGGUCCAAAGAUGGUGUGCGCACUUGUCUGUGGUCAUUUACCAUUAUAAUGAAUGGGAGGCGCAGUUUCUACCAAAACGCUCGCUGCAGACAAACUCCAUGUCCUUUUUGAAAAAAGUCUGGACCAUGAGUGAGGGCACAAACACAGCUAGUAUAUAUCCAAAUGGCAAGUUGCUCCUCCUUUCGGUUUUGCCGAGAGAGCAAUGCGUUUGAGCCAUUGAGCGAUGGGCAGGAAAAACUUGACUUUUUCUCCUGCCAUGGGGGGGCGCUCUUUUGGGGAGUAAAAAUUCCUUCACAAAUGUGUUGAUGGCUGGACAUUGCAUCAUCCUAGAAAACUUGGAGGCCAGUGAGGACAAAAAUAAAAAGUUAUAAGACUUUUAAGACUGUGGAUUUUUGGGUUAUCUUUGGCGCCCCCUAGAACCUAAACCGUGGGGUGCAGCGUCAUGAUUUGUACAACUUUGAAUGGCCAUGGGUUGUAGAUUGGCCUGAGCAACUAUGGUGUCAGUGGGACGAAAGCCUUCGGAGGAGUUAGCGAAAUUCCAAUGUGUGCGAAUCGGCAAAAAAUGCAAAAUAGCCCUUUUACCGUACAUUAUGCAGAUACGCGCUCUCUGACUUUUUCGUAGAUCUAAUUGAGAUACACAUGAUUGUUAAUUUUUGUGUCAAUAUGACAAAGAGUUCAGGCGUGACACUCAACAAUGUGUAUUUUCACCUUAGGGGACAAGAAAAAAUUGACUUUUUUCUCCUGCCAUGGGGGGGCGCUCUUUUGGGGAGUAAAAAUUCCUUCACAAAUGUGUUGAUGGCUGGACAUUGCAUCAUCCUAGAAAACUUGGAGGCCAGUGAGGACAAAAAUAAAAAGUUAUAAGACUUUUAAAUAUUUGGAUUUUAAGGGUUAUCUUUGGCGCCCCCUAGAGCCUAAACCGUGGGGUGCAGCGUCAUGAUUUUUACAACUUUUAAUGGCCAUGGGGUGUAGAUUGGCCUGAGCAAAUUUGGUGCCGGUGGAACGAAAGCCUUCGGAGGAGUUAGCGAAAUUCCAAUGUGUGCGGAUCGGCAAAAAAUGCAAAAUAGCCCUUUUACCGUACAUUAUACAGAUACGCGCUCUUUGACUUUUUCGUAGAUCUAAUUGAGAUACACAUGAUUGUCAAUUUUUGUGUCAAUAUGACAAAGAGUUCAGGCGUGACACUCAACAAUGUGUAUUUUCACCUUAUGGGACAAGAAAAAAUGGACUUUUUUCUCCUGCCAUGGGGGGGCGCUCUUUUGGGGAGUAAAAAUUCCUUCACAAAUGUGUUGAUGGCUGGACAUUGCAUCAUCCUAGAAAACUUGGAGGCCAGUGAGGACAAAAAUAAAAAGUUAUAAGACUUUUAAGAAUGUGGAUUUUUGGGUUAUCUUUGGCGCCCCCUAGAACAUAAACCGUGGGGUGCAGCGUCAUGAUUUGUACAACUUUGAAUGGCCAUGGGGUGUAGAUUGGCCUGAGCAAAUUUGGUGCCGGUGGAACGAAAGCCUUUGGAGGAGUUAGCAAAAUUCCAAUGUGUGCGGAUCGGCAAAAAAUGCGAAAUAGCCCUUUAACCGUACAUUUGACAGAUACGCCCGCACUGACUUUUUUGUAGAUCUUAUUGAGAUACACAUGUGUGUCAAAUUUUGUGUCAUUUUGACAAAGCGUACAGGCGUCAGGUGAGUUUUCACCAUAGGGGGCGCUAUGGAGCCAUUUUUCAUUUUUUUGUUUGGGCGACUUCAGAAUAUCAAAUUUUUCACCAGGCCCGGUCGUCCUGCCAAAUUUCCUGAGUUUUCGCCAGUGGGAAGUGGGCCAUUUUCCAGUUUAAAGCGGAGGAAAAAUAACGAAAGAAGAAUCCAUCAGGAACAAGAGGGCUCUCGCAGCUGCUUAGCAGCUACGCUCGGGCCCUAAAAACUAGGGCCCCGUUGGGGCACUGGCGGGCCCGAGCCGCGUUGCGCCGCCCCCAGUGCGACCGCCUCCCCCUCCCGAUCGCGUCACACUCAAGGUCCAAAGAUGGUGUGCGCACUUGUCUGUGGUCAUUUCCCAUUAUAAUGAAUGGGAGGCGCAGUUUCUACCAAAACACUCGCUGCAGACAAACUACAUGUCCUAUUUGAAAAAAGUCUGGACCAUGAGUGAGGGCACAAACACAGCUAGGAUAUAUCCAAACGGCAAGUUGCUCCUCGUUACGGUGUUGCCGGGAGAGCGAUGCGAUUGAGCCAUUGAGUGAUGGGCAGGAAAAACUUGACUGUUUCUCCUGCCAUGGGGGAUGGGGGGGGGGGGGGGAGGGAUGUGGAUUCUUUUAAGAAUGUGGAUAUUUGGGUCAUCUUUGGCGCCCCCUAGAACGUAAACCGUGGGGUGCAGCGUCAUGAUUUUUAAAACUUUGAAUGGCCAUGGGGUGUAGAUUGGCCUGAGCAAAUUUGGUGUCAGUGGGAAGAAAGCCUUAGGAGGAGUUAGCCACAUUCCAAUGUGUGCUAAUCGGCAAAAAAUGCAAAAUAGCCCUUUAACCGUACAUUUUACAGAUACGCGCGCAUUGACUUUUUCGUAGAUCUUAUUGAGAUACAUGUGUGUGUCAAAUUUUGUGUCAAUAUGACAAAGCAUACAGGUAUGACAGUCAACAAUGUGUAUUUUCACCUUAUGGGACAAGAAAAAAUGGACUUUUUUCUCCUGCCAUGGGGGGGCGCUCUUUUGGGGAGUAAAAAUUCCUUCACAAAUGUGUUGAUGGCUGGACAUUGCAUCAUCCUAGAAAACUUGGAGGCCAGAGAGGACAAAAAUAAAAAGUUAUAAGACUUUGAAAUAUGUGGAUUUUAGGGUUAUCUUUGGCGCCCCCUAGGACCUAAACCGUGGGGUGCAGCGUCAUGAUUUGAAUAACUUUUAAUGGCCAUGGGGUGUAGAUUGGCCUGAGCAAAUGUGGUGCCGGUGGAACGAAAGCCUUCGGAGGAGUUAGCAAAAUUCCAAUGUGUGCGGAUCGGCAAAAAAUGCGCAAUAACCCUUUAACCGGACAUUUGACAGAUACGCCAGCACUGACUUUUUUGUAGAUCUUAUUGAGAUACAUGUGUGUGUCAAUUUUUGUGUAAUUUUGACAAAGCGUACAGGCGUGACAGUCAAUAGUGUGAAUUUUCACCUUAUGGGACAAGAAAAAAUGGACUUUUUUCUCCUGCCAUGGGGGGGCGCUCUUUUGGGGAGUAAAAAUUCCUUCACAAAUGUGUUGAUGGCUGGACACUGCAUCAUCCUAGAAAACUUGGAGGCCAGUGAGGGCAAAAAUAAAAAGUUAUAAGACUUUUAAAUAUGUGGAUUUUAGGGUUAUCUUUGGCGCCCCCUAGAACCUAAACCGUGGGGUGCAGCGUCAUGAUUUGAAUAACUUUUAAUGGCCAUGGGGUGUAGAUUGGCCUGAGCAAAUGUGGUGCCGGUGGAACGAAAGCCUUCGGAGGAGUUAGCGAAAUUCCAAUGUGUGCGGAUCGGCAAAAAAUGCGCAAUAACCCUUUAACCGUACAUUUGACAGAUACGCCCGCACUGACUUUUUUGUAGAUCUUAUUGAGAUACAUGUGUGUGUCAAUUUUUGUGUCAUUUUGACAAAGCGUACAGGCGU